Molecule: microRNA precursor, 62 nt
Organism: Chlorocebus sabaeus (green monkey)
Lineage: Eukaryota; Metazoa; Chordata; Mammalia; Primates; Cercopithecidae
Source: Ensembl
UGGUUUUUGCUCUGAGUGACCGUGGUGGUCGUGGGAGUCACUGCAGGACUCAGCAGGAAUGC